RNAcentral lists this unclassified non-coding RNA (508 nucleotides) under plant metagenome. RNAcentral describes it as "partial contains small subunit ribosomal RNA, internal transcribed spacer 1, and 5.8S ribosomal RNA". The record is from RNAcentral.
UUUCCGUAUGUGAACCUGCGGAAGGAUCAUUAACACGUAUUAAAUUCUAUCAAACUAACCUGAGAACUUGUAUCUGCCAAAGACGCUUGAACCUUGUAAGAGGAUCGCUGAGGCCCAACAGCUCUAUUGAAGUCUGCUGCUAGGGGUCAAAGAACUCCUAUACUUGCUUUUGUUCUUCGGAGCAACGGUACUUGUGGAUGAUGUUCUCCUUAGUUAGUCUUCUUUAAGGCUUACCCACACGCCGGAGUAUCCAUUCCUCGGAAUGGAGAAACAUUGUGCCACUCUGUCAUUUCUAGUUCCUUGUAAGUUACUUUUACUAGGAGCUGGCCUCUCACUUCGACAAAGAUUUCAAGUGGCGAUCAGCUUGUAUAGCCCGCCUGCUUGGUCGAUAGAAUGAUGCUAGCUUUUAAAGUAGCCCAGGUUGAACUUAACUCUAGUAUAGAUCACCUAUAUUAGAGUAACAAAUCAAAUAAGAGAACAACUCUUAGCAAUGGAUAUCUUGGUUCUC